CAACCGUAAAAUUGCAGUUGAAACUGGAAGCCUUGAGUGCGGCAGAGGCAGGCGGAAUUCGUGGUGUAGCGGUGGAAUGCUUAGAUAUCACGAAGAACUCCGAUUGCGAAGGCAGCUUGCUGGAGCGUAACUGACGCUGAUGCUCGAAAGUGCGGGUAUCGAACAGGAUUAGAUACCCUGGUAGUCCGCGCGGUAAACGAUGGAUGCCCGCCGUGGGGGAAAUAUUUUCCGCGGCCAAGCGAAAGCGUUAAGCAUCCCACCUGGGGAGUACGCCGGCAACGGUGAAACUCAAAGGAAUUGACGGGGGCCCGCACAAGCGGAGGAACAUGUGGUUUAAUUCGAUGAUACGCGAGGAACCUUACCCGGGCUUGAAUUGCAGGUGCAUGGGGUGGAGACAUCCCUUUCCUUCGGGACUCCUGUGAAGGUGCUGCAUGGUUGUCGUCAGCUCGUGCCGUGAGGUGUCGGCUUAAGUGCCAUAACGAGCGCAACCCCUCUCCGUAGUUGCCAUCGGGUUAGGCCGGGCACUCUGCGGACACUGCCUCCGCAAGGAGUGAGGAAGGUGGGGAUGACGUCAAAUCAGCACGGCCCUUACGUCCGGGGCUACACACGUGUUACAAUGGGGCAUACAGAGAGCUGGGUGUACGCAAGUGCGCCCGAAUCAAGAAAGUGCCUCUCAGUUCGGACUGGGGUCUGCAACCCGACCCCACGAAGCUGGAUUCGCUAGUAAUCGCGCAUCAGCCAUGGCGCGGUGAAUACGUUCCCGGGCCUUGUACACACCGCCCGUCAAGCCAUG
RNAcentral lists this ribosomal RNA (793 nucleotides) under uncultured bacterium. Its description in RNAcentral is "bacterial SSU rRNA". It matches the Rfam family "Bacterial small subunit ribosomal RNA", at positions 610 to 1406 of the family's 1533-position model. The record is from RNAcentral.